GGGUCAUUAGCUCAAUUGGUAGAGCAGCUGACUCUUAAUCAGUUGGUUACAGGUUCAAGUCCUGUAUGGCCCACCA
Molecule: transfer RNA, 76 nt
Filed under: Desulfovibrio sp.
Lineage: Bacteria; Pseudomonadati; Thermodesulfobacteriota; Desulfovibrionia; Desulfovibrionales; Desulfovibrionaceae
Description: tRNA-Lys
Rfam family: tRNA
About the family: Transfer RNA (tRNA) molecules are approximately 80 nucleotides in length. Their secondary structure includes four short double-helical elements and three loops (D, anti-codon, and T loops). Further hydrogen bonds mediate the characteristic L-shaped molecular structure. tRNAs have two regions of fundamental functional importance: the anti-codon, which is responsible for specific mRNA codon recognition, and the 3' end, to which the tRNAs corresponding amino acid is attached (by aminoacyl-tRNA synthetases). tRNAs cope with the degeneracy of the genetic code in two manners: having more than one tRNA (with a specific anti-codon) for a particular amino acid; and 'wobble' base-pairing, i.e. permitting non-standard base-pairing at the 3rd anti-codon position.
Source: RNAcentral